Molecule: ribosomal RNA, 240 nt
Filed under: uncultured bacterium
Lineage: Bacteria
Description: partial 16S ribosomal RNA
Rfam family: Bacterial small subunit ribosomal RNA
Source: RNAcentral
UGAAGAAUUUGUCCAACGGUGGGGGAUAGCCGGCCCAACGGCCGGGUAAUACCGCGUACGCCCUUCGAGCGGCAUCGCUUGAUGGGGAAAGUCGCAAGACGCCGAUGGAGAACUUCGCGGCCUAUCAACUAGUUGGUGAGGUCAUGGCUCACCAAGGCGACGACGGGUAGCUGGUCCGAGAGGAUGACCAGCCACAUUGGGACUGAGACACGGCCCAGACCUCCCGUAACGGGGAGGCAG